Molecule: ribosomal RNA, 492 nt
Filed under: uncultured bacterium
Lineage: Bacteria
Description: partial 16S ribosomal RNA
Rfam family: Bacterial small subunit ribosomal RNA
Source: RNAcentral
AGUGAACGCUGGCGGUAGGCCUAACACAUGCAAGUCGAACGGCAGCACAGUAAGAGCUUGCUCUUACGGGUGGCGAGUGGCGGACGGGUGAGGAAUACAUCGGAAUCUACUCUUUCGUGGGGGAUAACGUAGGGAAACUUACGCUCAUACCGCAUACGCCCUACGGGUGAAAGCAGUGGAUCUUCUGACCUUGCGCGAUUGAAUUAGCCGAUUUCGGAUUAGCUAGUUGGCGGGGUAACGGCCCACCAAGGCGACGAUCCGUAGCUGGUCUGAGAGGAUGAUCAGCCACACUGGAACUGAGACACGGUCCAGACUCCUACGGGAGGCAGCAGUGGGGAAUAUUGGACAAUGGGCGCAAGCCUGAUCCAGCCAUACCGCGUGGGUGAAGAAGGCCUUCGGGUUGUAAAGCCCUUUUGUUGGGAAAGAAAAGCAGCAGGUUAAUACCCCGCUGUUCUGACGGUACCCAAAGAAUAAGCACCGGCUAACUUCGUG